GGGGCAGUAGCUCAGCUGGGAGAGCGCCACGUUCGCAACGUGGAGGCCGUCGGUUCGAUCCCGAUCUGCUCCA
RNAcentral lists this transfer RNA (73 nucleotides) under bacterium. RNAcentral describes it as "tRNA-Ala". It matches the Rfam family "tRNA". From Rfam's summary of the family: Transfer RNA (tRNA) molecules are approximately 80 nucleotides in length. Their secondary structure includes four short double-helical elements and three loops (D, anti-codon, and T loops). The record is from RNAcentral. RNAcentral also lists the same sequence under 4 other names.